GGGGUUCACAGGUCGCCUCCUUCCUUGCUUCUUCUAGCUCCCAGUCUCUGCUGACAAGCCCUGGGUUUCCUUGGCUUGUGGGCACAUUACGUCAGUCACAUGGUCGCCUUCUCCCUGUGCGUCUUUAUCGUCUUCCCUCUGUGCAUGUCUAUGUGUCCAAAUUUCCCUUUUUGAUAAGGAUAUCAAUUAUAUUGGAUUAGGGGAUCCUGACAAUCUCAUUUUAACUUGAUUACUUUUGUAAAAAUCCUAUCUCCAAAUAGGGUCACAUUCUGGAGUACCAGGGGUUAGGACUUCAGCAUAGCUUUCUUGGGGAGGCACAAUUCAAUUCAUAAAACCAUCUGUGGUGGUUAAUUUUUGUGUCAGGUUGGGCGCAGUAAUUAUAUCUAUAAUCUCAGAACUUUUGGGGGGCCAAGGCUGGAAAAUUGCUUGAUUCCAGGAGUUUGAGACCAGCCUGGGCAAUAUAGCAAGACACUCUCUCUACAAAAGAUAAAAAAUUAGCCAGUCCUGUAGUCUCUCCUCCCAAGGCUGAGGGGAGAGGAUCGCUUGAGCCCUGGAGGAUGAGGCUGCAGUGCAGAGAUGGUGCCACUGUACUCUAGCCUGGGUGAUGGAUCGAGACCUUGUCUCCAAAAAAAAAAAAAAGGAUGUCAACUUAGCUAGGCCAUACUACCCAAAAAUUUAAUCAAACAUUGUUCCAGGUGUUUUGGUGAAGGUAUUUUUUAGAUAAGAUUAACAGUAAACUUGGAGUAAGGCAGAUUAUCCUCUAUAAUGUAGGUGGGCUUCCUCCACUCAGUUGACGGCUUUAAUGGUAAAGACUAAUCUCCCAGAAGGAGAGGAAGUUCUGCCAAUAAACUUACCAUCUUUGAACUCAAACUGAACUGUUCUCUGGGUGUCUAGCCUGCCAGCCUACCCUACAGAUUACAUAUAUACAUCCUGUUGGUGCUGUUUCUCUGGAGAGCCCUGGAAUUGUAAUUCUUUUUAAGGCAGAGUCUUGCUCUUGUCACCUAGGCUGGAGUGCAAUGGUGUGAUCUCGUCUCACUGCAACUUCUACCUCCUGGAUUCAGGCAAUUCUCCUGCCUCAGCCUCCAAGUAGCUGAGAUGACAGGUGCCCGCCACCAGGUCCCUGGCUAGUUUUUGGAUUUUUAGUAGAGACUAGGUUUCACCAUGUUGGCCAAGCUGGGUCUCAAACUCCUGACCUCAGGUGAUCUUCAUGCCUCAGUCCUCCAAAGUGCUGGGAUUACAGGCCUGAGCCACGGCCCUGCCAUGCUGGCAUUAUAAUACACCAUUCAUUGGUCCCAGUCACCACCUGCCCUUAGGCCUCAGGGUCUUGGCCGUGGUGCCAGAGCUGUGGUAAUUUCUCACCUAGACAGAGAAUACCUGGGGCUGCCUUUCCACCCACCUCACUGUAAACAAACUAUCAGUCAACCACUGAAGAAGCAUUUCAGAGCCUUCAAUUUUUGAUUAGUCCCUUGGCAAAGUUCGGUCUCAGUGUGAAUUGCUUUGAGAAAUGAUCGGGGAAUAAAUGAGAAUUUCUUAGCUUCACAAGUUACCACAGUCCUGGAGGCUGGUGUUGCGUAGGAGUUAGAGGAGUCAUUCCUCUAAAGUACUGCGCAAAAUUCUAAAGUGUCUAUCACAUUGUUCAUGUGUGGUUACCAAUUGCUGUGUAACGAGCUGCUCCAAAAUUGAGUGACUUUAAAUUAUAAUUUUUUUAUUUGUUCACAAAUCUGAGGGUCAGCAAUUUAUAUUGGGCUCAACGGGGUGGUUCUUCUGCUUGGUCUCUUUUGGAGUCGCUUUUGCAGCUACUGUCACCUAGUAGUGUAACGAACCAUGGUUCAUGAUGGCCAAAGUGUCUGGCAGUUGGUACUGGCUAUUGGCUGGGUACCUGUCUCCAUGCAAGUUUUCAUCUUCCAGAUGAGAAACCCUGGCUUCCUUACCUGGUGGCCCCCUGUUCUAAGAUAAUAGGAGUGAAAGCUGCAAGGUAUCUUAAGGACUAGGCUUGGAAAGUUGCCAAAAUACCACUUCCGUUAUAUUCUUUUGCUUAGAGCAAGUUGCAAAGCCUUCCUAAAUUCAAAGCAAGGAGAAACAGAUUCCAUCACUUGAUGGGAAGCAGUACAGAGUCCUGUUGCAAAGAGACAUUCAUACCUGAGGCGAGAAUUUACUAUAUCCAACUUUGUAAGCAGUCUACCACGUCCACUAAGCAAAUGAAACUGGCAAAUGCAGUGGUUGACUUAUGUCUGGCUAAGUCACGGAAGGUGAUGAACACAAUCGUGAUGAGAUCCAGAGGUCAGAGGGGGACCCUGGACGCGUGAGGACAUUGUUGUUUAUUAUACCAUUUGACUGAGAACUGGGCAGGGAAGGCUUGUUGGACUCUGCCUGAUUCGAAGUGUAGUCUAUAAAUUUUUUCCUGUGAGUUAGAUAUUUGCUUCAGUUCUGCUACAGCACAGCCGGAGGCAUCUGGUAGGGCCGGCUAACUUAUGUUCUUAGAUUUUCUUUGGCAGAAAUUAAUUUUUUUUUUUUAGAAUUUUUUUUUCUCUCCAAGGCUCAGUCUUUGGGUUAAUAUCGCAGAUCCACAAUUCAUAAAUUUGUUCCUCUUGGUUCAUUGUUUCAGAAUGAAAUUUUUAAUAGAUUCCAAAGCCUUCAUAAGAGUGCUGCCUAGUUACAUAACGAAGUUACUCUGCACGUGGUUGACAGGUAGUAAUUUAUUAUUAUCUUUGUCCUUGAUAAGAGUUAUGCCUUGAACAGCAGGUGCCUAAUAAAUGUUAGCUAUAACAACAUAAGCAACAGAAGAAAGUUUGUCCCUUUGUAUCUCAAUCAGCCAUUCACAAUGCAUACUCUUCUGUUGUCACUGUGCCUGUUUUCUGUUAAUUUUAUCAAUUAUAUGUAGAGGGAAACUAUAGCUGUGUGACGUUAUUAUUGUUAGUUAAAUGUUCUAAUUUAUCCUGCCACUGUACUUCGUUUAGCAUAACAAAGUCACAAUAUUUUUCUGUCCCUGCGGUGAAAGACUGUAGUAAGCUGAUCUUGCUAACAAGAGAAAAUUAUUAGCUUUCUUAAGAAUAUAACCCUAUAUACAUUACUAAGCAUUCCAGGAGGAUUAAUAGUUCUACGAAUUUUGGACAGGCCGAGGUAGCGGCAACGUGAGAUAGGGCUGUUUUAAUAUUUGUCCUUGGCCCAUUUGCAUAUCUAUCACUGGUAAUUCGUUAAUGCUGCUUGUGUUUUAGUCUGUGGUCAUGCCGAGAAUUAAUGCACUCUGCUGGCUGAUACGCCCGAUGCCAGAGCGAGAACUAGGCAAGUCUGAUCGAACAUUCCAUGAUUCCGGCAAUCAUGAGGCUUGCGUUCAAGGGCGACUUGUUUGCAGGGUGAUGCUUUUCUGAAAAGUUAGCAGUGAAAUGGCAGAUUUCAAGCACCGUUCACUGACAUUCAAGGCUUUCUUUCUCCUAUAAGAGCUAUUCUGGCACUUGAAAUUGCAGAGGUUUUGUUUGUUUGUUUGUUUUGUUGUGGUCAUUGGGAACAGGCAGAGAGAAGGCAAGGGUAUUUAACAUUCGACAGAGAAUUGCUGAAAGUCAGAGGUCGGUCAGUGGGGGCUGCGAAGGCUUUGAUCGCCAAACUAAGUGUCUAAAAGAAAAGAGAACAAGCUGGGGCGGUGGCUCAUGCCUGUAAUCCCAGCACUUUGGGAGGCAAAGGUGGGCGAAUCAGGAGGUCGAGACCAUAGACCAUCCUGGCCAACACGGCUAAACCCUGUCUCUACUAAAAUACAAAAUUAGGUGCAAACCUGUAGUCCUAGCUACUCAGGAGGCUGAGGCAGGAGAAUCGCGUUGAACCCAGGAGGCAGAGGUUGCAGUGAGCCACCAAGUCCAGCCUGGCGACAGAGCAAGACUCCAUCUCAAAAAAAAAAAAAAAAAAAAAAAAAAAAGAAAAAAGAAUGAGAACCUGAAACAUCAGAAACGAUCUGUACGUCGGUUGCACUGGACACCCUAACCAACCUGCAUAUUUGUAUAUGUUAAAACACGUGAUUAUUUUAAUACACUCCCUAUGAAUUCUGCUACUUAGGAGAACUUUGGAUAAAUCACAAGAAGGCACAUAUUGAUAUAACAUUAACUUGACGUUGGCAUUUGGCUGUUAUUAUUAAACAUGUAUGAAGUAUCUAAUUCAAUCAUUCAUCAGUUCAAUUUUGUCAAUCCACAAAUAAUUACUGAAGGUCUCAUAUGUGCCAGAUGCAUGAUAGGUUUCUGGAAUUCCAGAGGAGUUUGCAGUCUAGAGGAGAAGAAAGAAAAGCAAGCUGGCAGUCUCAGUGCGAUAGUAUGUAUGAUAGGGGGUCUGGAUAGGUGACCCUGGAGGAAGUGACCUCUCUGGGAGGUGCAGGUGUAGGUGGAAGGAGAGCCAGGUCUUUCGGGAUUAAGGCCCAGGCUCCGGAGUUUGGACAAUGGAAGGCAUUGAAGGCUUAAGAAAGGAAGUGGCAUGAUCAGGCUGCAGUUUGAACAGACUAUUCUGCUUGCAGUGGGGAGGAUGGCUUAACAAGGCGGCUUAGAUUGCGUUGCCAAGACGCUGAGCCAGAAACGGGCUUCUUGGGCAAGCAAUUUCUUGAGGGAGUGCUUUCAAGUGAAACCUGUAAGGGUGUGAGGGAAACGCAAAUAGGACAGGCUCAGAGGAGGUCUGGCCUCAGGCUGAUCCUGUGGGAAGUCUGGGGCAUGUGUGGGGACACAGAUUGCCCUCUUGAGCGAGGCAAGAGGACCAGCCUUUGUGCCUGCUUAUCAGGCAGAUGUGGCUGUGGGCUGGCCCCAGCUGGAAGUCAGACCCCCCCUCCCCCCACCGGACUUUUCCAGACUGAGAAAGUACUACUAAUGAAGAAAAGCUCUGAUAAGCACCAGUAAUGUACAAACACCACACUAAGCAGAAGACGUGGUUCCUGACCUCUUGGAGUGUGGGUUCUAAAGGACACCCAGACAGACAAGCAUAAAUUGUAUAUAUUUCUUUCCUUUUCUGGUGAGGAGUGGGUAGCAUCAGGGAAGAGUUGCAUUCAAAUUGAUUAUGAACCACAGGUCUAAAUUUCAAUUCUGGCCUGAAUAGCAAUUUUUCCUGAAGGUUUGAAUAAAUCAUCCAGUCUGCUUUGGUUUCAA
Molecule: non-coding RNA, 5111 nt
Organism: Callithrix jacchus (white-tufted-ear marmoset)
Lineage: Eukaryota; Metazoa; Chordata; Mammalia; Primates; Cebidae
Source: RefSeq, a predicted model, not a curated record